RNAcentral lists this ribosomal RNA (1166 nucleotides) under Streptomyces doudnae. RNAcentral describes it as "Streptomyces sp. DSM 41981 partial 23S ribosomal RNA". It matches the Rfam family "Bacterial large subunit ribosomal RNA", at positions 512 to 1551 of the family's 2925-position model. Lineage: Bacteria; Bacillati; Actinomycetota; Actinomycetes; Kitasatosporales; Streptomycetaceae. The record is from RNAcentral.
UGGUGAAAAGUACCGCGGGAGCGGAGUGAAAUAGUACCUGAAACCGUGUGCCUACAAGCCGUGGGAGCGUCGGAUGGGAGCUUGCUUCCAUCUCGUGACUGCGUGCCUUUUGAAGAAUGAGCCUGCGAGUUUGCGGUGUGUUGCGAGGUUAACCCGUGUGGGGAAGCCGUAGCGAAAGCGAGUCCGAACAGGGCGUUUCAGUAGCAUGCUCAAGACCCGAAGCGGAGUGAUCUAGCCAUGGGCAGGUUGAAGCGGAGGUAAGACUUCGUGGAGGACCGAACCCACCAGGGUUGAAAACCUGGGGGAUGACCUGUGGUUAGGGGUGAAAGGCCAAUCAAACUCCGUGAUAGCUGGUUCUCCCCGAAAUGCAUUUAGGUGCAGCGUCGUGUGUUUCUUGCCGGAGGUAGAGCACUGGAUAGGCGAUGGGCCCUACCGGGUUACUGACCUUAGCCAAACUCCGAAUGCCGGUAAGUGAGAGCGCGGCAGUGAGACUGUGGGGGAUAAGCUCCAUGGUCGAGAGGGAAACAGCCCAGAGCAUCGACUAAGGCCCCUAAGCGUACGCUAAGUGGGAAAGGAUGUGGAGUCGCACAGACAACCAGGAGGUUGGCUUAGAAGCAGCCACCCUUGAAAGAGUGCGUAAUAGCUCACUGGUCUAGUGAUUCCGCGCCGACAAUGUAGCGGGGCUCAAGCGUACCGCCGAAGUCGUGUCAUUGCAGCAUGAGGGCCAACGCCCGCUGUGAUGGGUAGGGGAGCGUCGUCUGCCGGGUGAAGCAGCCGCGGAAGCGAGUUGUGGACGGUUGACGAGUGAGAAUGCAGGCAUGAGUAGCGAUACACACGUGGGAAACGUGUGCGCCGAUUGACUAAGGGUUCCUGGGUCAAGCUGAUCUGCCCAGGGUAAGUCGGGACCUAAGGCGAGGCCGACAGGCGUAGUCGAUGGAUAACCGGUUGAUAUUCCGGUACCCGCUGUGAAGCGUCAAACAUCGAGCAUCGUGAUGCUAAGGCCGUGAAGCCGCCCUGAUCUCUUCGGAGUUGAGGGGAGUGGUGGAGCCGCCGGACCAAGCGGUUAGUAGGUGAGUGAUGGGGUGACGCAGGAAGGUAGUCCAUCCCGGGCGAUGGUAGUCCCGGGGUAAGGGUGUAGGCCGUGCGGUAGGUAAAUCCGUCGCACA